AAUGAUAAAUGGAAAGGUGGAUUGACAUCUACUCGAACCCUGAACUCCAGAUAACGUCAUUGAACGUUUUUAGAAAAAAAGUUUUUAACACGUGUUAUUUUAUUUUUGUCUCUUUCUCCUCGCUGUGUGUUGCUUGUGUUACAUACUCAGUGGACAAAUGAAGUGCGGUCUGGGGCCAUACGGAAUUUUAUUUCCAUCCAAACAAUACAUAUUUACAGUUCCGUUACCAGUUAUUAAUCAUCGCAGCAGUUGCAAGGUCCUGCCUAUACUUCUGAGGAAAAUAUGUCGCAAAAUCUCUAGACACCAUCAGCAGAUGAUCACAAAGGAUAUACAAAUCAAGCUUGAUAUUUUUCUUUUUACAUUCGUACUUUUUAAGGAAGCUCUCAAAAUAUUGGAAUUUGUAGAACAUUGUUUUUACAAACGUUUUAUGCCACCGCCUAGUAGUCUUAAUUUUCAUGCUUCCUGUUCUCUUAAAUGCAUCGAAGAUCUCAUCUCUUUUGCCUUCAUAGAACAGGUUGAUCUUCGAUUCAAAUGUUAAAAAACAGAUGCCAUAUAACACAAUUUGAUCAGUCAAACAUUAUUGAAAUGCAUCAUGUUCACGUCACCUUGCUCAGUACAAAUAAGAAACAAUCUAUUCUUUGGAGAUUCCUGUCUCUUUCAAAAGCGCUUCGACAUGACAGCCAUUAAAUUGCAAAAUAAUCUACUUGAAAACAACCGAAUUUUUAUCUCUCUAUUUAUUAAUAAGUUUUCAUUACAUCUUGCAACAAUUCUUCAAGUUCACUUCUCAGGUCGCUGCAGCAUGUGUUCAGUUUCUGGGCAGUUCGCGCCAGUUCUGGGAUAUUUCUUUGAUGCUAACGUCGGUUUCCUUAUGCUACUCCAUACUGGUUGCAACGUUGUGUGCAACCACAGCAAGAUAUUUCCACUCAAAUUUUCCCUCACCGCGAAUCCGUCAAGUUUUGGAGCAAAUAAACUCCCAUCUAAGGUUAGCAAAAGAGACAACGCUAGAAAAUCUGUUCCGAGGUUUUGAUCCAGGAAACGGCAUUGUUGUUGUUGGCACUCCGUCGCUUACGACGUCGAGGGUUCCAGUUGAUCCGAUCAAUGGAACAGCCUGCUCGUGAAUUUAACGUGCAAGUGGUUGAGCACUCUACAGAUACGUAUACCCUUAACGUAGUUCUCAGGGAUAUUCAGCGUGACACAGUGUGACAAGGCUGACC
Molecule: long non-coding RNA, 1214 nt
Organism: Octopus bimaculoides (California two-spot octopus)
Lineage: Eukaryota; Metazoa; Mollusca; Cephalopoda; Octopoda; Octopodidae
Source: RefSeq, a predicted model, not a curated record